This is a long non-coding RNA of Cebus imitator (Panamanian white-faced capuchin), 1329 nucleotides long. RefSeq lists it as uncharacterized. Lineage: Eukaryota; Metazoa; Chordata; Mammalia; Primates; Cebidae. The transcript has 2 exons. The record is from RefSeq and is a predicted model, not a curated record.
AGGUGAUCCACCAACCUCAGCCUCCCAAAGUGCUCACAGGUGUGAGCCACUGCGCCUGGCCCCAAAUCUUUUUUCAUGUAGUGAUGCGCGUGUGCGCAUGCAAACACACACAGACACACACACACACACACACACACACACACACCCCAAACCAAAAUGUCAAGUCUAUGAGGAAUAGCAAUGAAAAGAGCCUGUAGAAGGGAAAAGAUUGGGAACCAUGGCAUUUUGAGUAUCUACAGCUGCCUAAAGCUUUUUGGGUGUUGGGAAAACAGGCUAUUGCUUAACAGUGGUAGGGAAGAGAGAUAUGAGUGUCAUGAAAUAAGAAUGGGGACAUCAAAGACAAAGUCAUGAUUAGUUUGCUGGUGCCUUACAGAACUUUCUCCCCUUUGAAACCUUAGUAACAUUUUUUUCCUCUUUAAGCAGAAGCAGUUUCCAAAUGUUACUUGGGUAAUGGUGCCCUCUUCUGGGAUAACUGAUGUGACUCUGAAACCCUCUCCUACCACUUGGUUCAAAACAUCUAGAAAGUAACUGACUAAAGAAACAAUGAGACCAAAGGUUAAGCACCGAAAACAUCAUUUAAAGGUUUGAAUUAGGAACUAGAUACAUGCAUAAAUAUACAUAAGAUAAAUGUGCUCAAAGAUGUCUCCUUUCCAAUGCUGUCAAAACCUCAAGCUGAUGUAGGCACUUCUGUACCUCAUUUCCAUGGUGCUGUUGUGUCAGUGGAUCCAAUUUCCUGCGCUGUCAGCAUUACUCUCCUCACUUUACUAGCACAUUUUAAAAUUGACUUGGUUUAGGUCCCAUGGCAAUGGGAAGAAUACCUUCUUCUUUUCUCCUAUUAUCUUUGCCUUUAGUUUCUUUCUGCUUUUCCUUUUCAACACUCAUUAUGUGCCCUCAGUGUGUCCUAAAUCAGUUUUUAACUGCCCCUUAAACUAUUUCCAUGUCACAGCAUUUAAAAAUGAUGGUUCAUGACAAAGCUGCUGCAGAUAAAGAAAAACGGUUCAAUUCCUCUUGUAACAUAAGAUUGAUGUGCAGAUGCAAAAAGGUUAUUUGAUGGCUUUUACCUUCAACUGUCUAACUUCGGAGUAAAAAUAAUGUAGCCCUAUAGUUCUAAAAAGAUUAGAGAGAAGCAAGUCUGGAAAUAGUCAUCUUGUUUUUAUAUAUUAAUGGUCAGUUUAAAUAAGCUAACGCUAAGGGCAAGGGAAAUCUUUAUAGGACCUUGUAACAAGGAGUAGCAGAUGAAGCAUCCAACUCUUAAAGUUUUGUAAAAGAAAGUAUAUCGGUGACUCUGGUAAAAUGUUUGGAAAAUACAGAUAUUCUAGUAAGAUUAUA